AUGAAUCAUAGAAUUACUAAAGCAAUAUCAUAUACAAUGACUCCACCAACAAUAAAAAGGAAAGAAAUACUAACCGUGAACACAGGAAGGGGAAAGAGGGGACUACCAGAACUUACACAGGAAGGGGAGAGAGGGGACUACCAGAACUUACACAGGAAGGGGAGAGAGGGGACUACCAGAACUUACACAGGAAGGGGAGAGAGGGGACUACCAGAACUUACACAGGAAGGGAAGAGAGGGGACUACCAGAACUUACACAGGAAGGGAAGGGAAGAGAGGAGACUACCAGAACUUACACAGGAAGUGAAGAGAAGAGAGGGGACUACCAGAACUUACACAGGAAGGGAAGUGAAGAGAGGGACUACCAGAACUUACACAGGAAGGGGAGAGAGGGGACUACCAGAACUUACACAGGAAGGGAAGAGAGGGGACUACCAGAACUUACACAGGAAGAGAAGAGACGGGACUACCAGAACUUACACAGGAAGGGAAGGGAGGAGAGGGGACUACCAGAACUUACACAGGAAGAGAAGAGAGGGGACUACCAGAACUUACACAGGAAGUGAAGAGAAGAGAGGGGACUACCAGAACUUACACAGGAAGGGAAGAGAGGGGACUACCAGAACUUACACAGGAAGAGAAGAGACGGGACUACCAGAACUUACACAGGAAGGGAAGGGAGGAGAGGGGACUACCAGAACUUACACAGGAAGAGAAGAGAGGGGACUACCAGAACUUACACAGGAAGUGAAGAGAGGGGACUACCAGAACUUACACAGGAAGGGAAGAGAGGGGACUACCAGAACUUACACAGGAAGGGAAGAGAGGGGACUACCAGAACUUACACAGGAAGAGAAGAGAGGGGACUACCAGAACUUACACAGGAAGGGAAGAGAGGGGACUACCAGAACUUACACAGGAAGGGGAGAGAGGGGACUACCAGAACUUACACAGGAAGAGAAGAGAAGAGAGGGGACUACCAGAACUUACACAGGAAGGGAAGAGAGGGGACUACCAGAACUUACACAGGAAGAGAAGAGAAGAGAGGGGACUACCAGAACUUACACAGGAAGGGGAGAGAGGGGACUACCAGAACUUACACAGGAAGGGAAGAGAGGGGACUACCAGAACUUACACAGGAAGGGAAGGAAAGAGAGGGGACUACCAGAACUUACACAGGAAGGGAAGAGAGGGGACUACCAGAACUUACACAGGAAGGGAAGAGAGGGGACUACCAGAACUUACACAGGAAGGGAAGAGAGGGGACUACCAGAACUUACACAGGAAGAGAAGAGAGGGGACUACCAGAAAUUACACAGGAAGGGAAGAGAGGGGACUACCAGAACUUACACAGGAAGAGAAGAGAGGGGACUACCAGAACUUACACAGGAAGAGAAGAGAGGGGACUACCAGAACUUACACAGGAAGGGAAGAGAGGGGACUACCAGAACUUACACAGGAAGGGAAGAGAGGGGACUACCAGAACUUACACAGGAAGAGAAGAGAGGGGACUACCAGAACUUACACAGGAAGAGAAGAGAGGGGACUACCAGAACUUACACAGGAAGGGAAGAGAGGGGACUACCAGAACUUACACAGGAAGGGAAGAGAGGGGACUACCAGAACUUACACAGGAAAGGAAGGGAGGGGACUACCAGAACUUACACAGGAAGGGAAGAGAGGGGACUACCAGAACUUGCACAGGAAGAGAAGAGAGGGGACUACCAGAACUUAUACAGGAAGGGAAGAGAGGGGACUACCAGAACUUACACAGGAAGUGAAGAGAAGAGAGGGGACUACCAGAACUUACACAGGAAGGGAAGAGAGGGGACUACCAGAACUUACACAGGAAGAGAAGAGACGGGACUACCAGAACUUACACAGGAAGGGAAGGGAGGAGAGGGGACUACCAGAACUUACACAGGAAGAGAAGAGAGGGGACUACCAGAACUUACACAGGAAGUGAAGAGAAGAGAGGGGACUAAUACUUUAGGAUGGCAUAAUAGAAGCGGUGACUUCAGGAAUAGAAACCAACCUCACCAUGGUCCAUUCCACGGGGUCAAUCUGAGCCAAGCUCUACUGUGUUCUCCUGGUUCCACAUCCAGCAUAGUUGCUAAACGGGCAAUGUGA
This 2130-nucleotide long non-coding RNA is filed under the name Oncorhynchus mykiss (rainbow trout). Its description in RNAcentral is "lncRNA (ENSOMYG00000064561.1)". The record is from RNAcentral. Lineage: Eukaryota; Metazoa; Chordata; Actinopteri; Salmoniformes; Salmonidae.